Molecule: ribosomal RNA, 552 nt
Filed under: Sordariomycetes sp. HHTG-2015l
Lineage: Eukaryota; Fungi; Ascomycota; Sordariomycetes
Description: eukaryotic LSU rRNA
Rfam family: 5.8S ribosomal RNA (bases 154-307)
Source: RNAcentral
AUAGCGGAGGACUAUCAUCGGCGGAGGAGCAUAUCAAUAAGCGGAGGAGCAUAUCAAUAAGCGGAGGAGCAUAUCAAUAAGCGGAGGAACAUAUCAAUAAGCGGAGGAGCAUAUCAAUCAGCGGAGGAGCAUAUCAAUCAGCGGAGGAACCUAUCCUUUCGAGGAGGAAUCUCUUGGUUCUGGCAUCAAUGAAUAACGCAGCGAAAUGCGAUAAGUAAUGUGAAUUGCAGAAUUCAGUGAAUCAUCGAAUCUUUGAACGCACAUUGCGCCCGCCAGUAUUCUGGCGGGCAUGCCUGUUCGAGCGUCAUUUCAACCCUCGCGCCCCUUCUGGGAACGCGGUGUUGGGGACCGGCACAACCCGCCUCUUGGCGGGCGCCGCCCCCGAAAUACAGUGGCGGUCUCGCUGCCGCCUCCCUUGCGUAGUAUCACAACCUCACACCGGACCGCAGCGCGGCCCCCCCGUAAAACCCCCGACUCUCCUGAUUUUGACCUCGGAUCAAGUACGAAUACCUGCUGAACUUUAAUCUUAUCAUAAUACUGAGAAACGACAAU